RNAcentral lists this small RNA (30 nucleotides) under Bombyx mori (domestic silkworm). Its description in RNAcentral is "ovarian small RNA-26993". Lineage: Eukaryota; Metazoa; Arthropoda; Insecta; Lepidoptera; Bombycidae. The record is from RNAcentral.
UCCAUGAUCGCUGAGUGCCCAGGUGGGGUU